GCUCGCUUCGGCAGCACAUACUAAAGUCGAGUGAUUCCGAGAUUAGCGUAGCUCCUGCACAAGGAUGACACACAAGUUUGUGAAUUGUUCCAUGUUUUG
Molecule: small nuclear RNA, 99 nt
Organism: Erinaceus europaeus (western European hedgehog)
Lineage: Eukaryota; Metazoa; Chordata; Mammalia; Eulipotyphla; Erinaceidae
Source: Ensembl